Molecule: transfer RNA, 85 nt
Organism: Clostridium sp. SY8519
Lineage: Bacteria; Bacillati; Bacillota; Clostridia; Eubacteriales; Clostridiaceae
Rfam family: tRNA
About the family: Transfer RNA (tRNA) molecules are approximately 80 nucleotides in length. Their secondary structure includes four short double-helical elements and three loops (D, anti-codon, and T loops).
Source: Rfam
GCAGGAAUGGCGGAAUUGGCAGACGCGCACGGUUCAGGUCCGUGUGAGCAUUGCGCUCAUGAGGGUUCAAGUCCCUCUUCCUGCA